RNAcentral lists this microRNA precursor (105 nucleotides) under Canis lupus familiaris (dog). Its description in RNAcentral is "mir-8834 microRNA precursor family". It matches the Rfam family "mir-8834 microRNA precursor family". Lineage: Eukaryota; Metazoa; Chordata; Mammalia; Carnivora; Canidae. RNAcentral also lists the same sequence under 1 other name. The record is from Rfam by way of RNAcentral.
AGGAGGAACAACCGCAGUGGCGGGGCCAGCUCUGCAGCCCUGGAGUCAGCCCCCGCAGUAGCUCCGGAUCUCUCUGUCUGCAGGGCCUGGAGGCUCCAGGCGGGG